GACGGAGGGGGCAAGCGUUGCUCGGAAUCACUGGGCGUAAAGGGCAAGCAGGCGGCCCUGCAAGUCAGAUGUGAAAUCCCUCGGCUCAACCGAGGAACUGCAUCUGAAACUGCAGGGCUUGAGUUCGGGAGAGGUGAGCGGAAUUCCCGGUGUAGCGGUGAAAUGCGUUGAUAUCGGGAGGAACGUCGGUGGCGAAGGCGGCUCACUGGACCGAUACUGACGCUCAGAGGCGAAAGCUAGGGGAGCGAACGGGAUUAGAUACCCCCGUA
This 269-nucleotide ribosomal RNA is filed under the name uncultured prokaryote. RNAcentral's name for it is "partial 16S ribosomal RNA". It matches the Rfam family "Bacterial small subunit ribosomal RNA", at positions 524 to 792 of the family's 1533-position model. The record is from RNAcentral.